This 26-nucleotide non-coding RNA is filed under the name Homo sapiens (human). Lineage: Eukaryota; Metazoa; Chordata; Mammalia; Primates; Hominidae. The record is from RNAcentral.
UGUGGCUGUGUCUAGUACAACUUUUA